RNAcentral lists this ribosomal RNA (253 nucleotides) under uncultured bacterium. RNAcentral's name for it is "partial 16S ribosomal RNA". It matches the Rfam family "Bacterial small subunit ribosomal RNA", at positions 524 to 776 of the family's 1533-position model. The record is from RNAcentral.
UACGUAGGGCGCAAGCGUUAUCCGGAAUUAUUGGGCGUAAAGAGCUCGUAGGCGGUUUGUCGCGUCUGCUGUGAAAGACCGGGGCUCAACUCCGGUUCUGCAGUGGGUACGGGCAGACUAGAGUGCAGUAGGGGAGACUGGAAUUCCUGGUGUAGCGGUGAAAUGCGCAGAUAUCAGGAGGAACACCGAUGGCGAAGGCAGGUCUCUGGGCCGUAACUGACGCUGAGGAGCGAAAGCGUGGGGAGCGAACAGG